Molecule: long non-coding RNA, 2313 nt
Organism: Nymphaea colorata (pocket water lily)
Lineage: Eukaryota; Viridiplantae; Streptophyta; Magnoliopsida; Nymphaeales; Nymphaeaceae
Exons: 3
Source: RefSeq, a predicted model, not a curated record
ACAACGAUCAAGUUUAUUCGUGCGAACAUCGAUAAGUGUUAGGUUCUGUCACAGAUGAGAGAAGCAGAGCGGAGAGUGGAGAUCAUCAAUCAUCGUCGUCCCUCAGCGUCAAUCAAGAGCAGAAAGAGAGAAGCUGUUCGCCUCACUAGAUGGAUAGUUCUUUCUGUUUUCCACUUGUGUUGGUUGCAGGUAGAGAGAGGCGUUGCUCGGCAUCCUCCUCCGCCAUCCUUCUGCUCACUGGGUGACCAUCCUUCAAGUCAUCAAGUAAGUCUCUCUCUCGCUGUCUCCCAGUUGUCUCCUUCAAUAGACAAGGAGGAGUUCGGUGACUGGUUCUGUUGGAAGUCUCUCUCUCUCUCUCUCACAGGGUAAUUGUGUUUGAUUUCAAAAAUGAUGUCUCUAUGAAUAAAUAUGCGCCAGAUUAAUGAUUAAUUUUCGGACAAAAUUAAAAUUUUGAAGGUUUUUUGAUCUUACAUGCGGGUUAUGCGUGUGAUGGUAGCAGCCUAGCAGGUCUGUGGAAUUAGGGGCAAUCUGUUGUCUUUUUUUAAUGAUGUUAAAGAUGCUUUGGUUGUUGGGUUUACUGAUGUUCGUUGUUUGUUGUCAUUUCAUCGGUCGUCUAAGGUCUUUUAUUUCUCUCUGUGUUUAUUUUUGUGGAGAAAGGCCGGUGGUGAAGGCAAUUAGAUCUCUCUAUGGUUUGUAUGUUAAGGGAGAUGUAUGUUGAAUCUUCGAGCCAUAGUUGGUUGUCAGUUUACUGCAAGUGGAUGAAGACCAACUUUCAAAAGUAGCUCGAUUCUAGGCUUUAACAACAGAAAUGGGGAGCUGUUGUUUUACCAAGUAUAUUUUCAGCUCCAAAAUGAAGGUGAUAAACUUAUUGCUCAUGCCGUCCUAAGAACCCUGCAGUGGGUAAAGCUCGUGCCCGCAUUGCAUAAUCUAGGUCUGUUAGGAUGCUCAUUCUGUUUUAUUUUUUUCACAGGCUGAGAAUCCUUAGGACUUGUAUGACUUGUGAGCUUUGCAACGGUUUGGAGCUCGCAAGGAACUUUCAGUUUCCAAUUCUGGGACAUGUUUUUAUGCUUGGAGUUUUUUUGUGGCAUGUAUGAUUUGUUUUCCUUUUUCUCUCGUCUCCUUUGGCACGAGACUUUUGAAGCCAGAGCCUAGUAAAGACAACUUCUUACGUGACAUUUGAUUCUGCUAGAAAUCAGAAAAGAAGACUGGCAAGGCAACCAAGUUGACCAUUUCUACUAUUGUAAUUUGAAUAACUGUAGUCUGAUGGCAAGAAACAUUAAAUCACUAUCUUGAGGACACAAACUUGGAAACAGUUCAGCUUAAAAGAUGCUGAAAUUCUUAUUUCUAGUUUUUAAUGGUGAGAACAAGUAGCUUUUGUUUCAGAAACUGGCACCUUUCUUCUUUCUACAUUUUUCUUUCGUAAACUGGCGCUUUUCUUCUUUCUACGUUUUGGGUGUUCUGUUGUUUAAGUGAAGCACAAAGGAAGCAGAGGUGAUUCAGGUUUGCUGAGGAAUGACUAAAGGAGGCUUUCCAGUGUAUAAGUUUGAAUGCAGAGGAUGACGGUCCAUGACAGCAAGUGAAAAAUUGCAGAGAUAAUGAGGCAAAGAAGGCAUUGGAGGAGGCAUUCAAGAUGACCAACAGGGUGGGAUUUUGUGAUGCCAUUGCUCAUCGGCUUCUGCAUUAGAAGAGACAUAGGGAGAUCUAAGCUGCAGAGGGCAGCAGAGUUUUCAUUAUAGUGGAAGCAACCAUGUUUGGGAGCGCAGCCAAGAGUGGGCCAUUGAAUUUUUGUAUAUUAACUCUUUUAUCGUAUAUAAAUUUUUGUUAAUAAAAAUUUUUGUCUUGAAAAAUUUUCUCUCUAUUUUUAUUAUAUAUAUAUAUAUGUGUGUGUGUACACACACGCACACUCGCACUGCAGCAGGAUAUAGCGAUAAAUGGACGAAGGGCAACAGGUUCAGGGUUUGUCCAGAGAAGUGACUGUGCCCAUGUGAGCCGAUGGGAACACCAAGAAGAAGAACUGGUAACAGGUGGAGAAAUGGAUACACCGCAGAACAAAGCAGAAACAGGGCGAUUGAGAACAAUGAAAAAGGCGCAUGCUGAUUCUUUCUUCUUAUUGUGUACAACCAUGAAACGUUACGAGGACAACACCAUGAGAAGGCAAUUAGACAAUAGAAUGGCAGGGUUGGGACUUGAUCUAACAAGGUCUUCAGGCAAUAAAAUGGCUGAGUUGGGACUCGAUCUAAGGUCUUCAACUUGGCAGCCUUCCGUUUCCCAUCUUAUCACAUGGUUUUAUACUUUAGGUUUUUCAUAGCUGCC